GAAAAAGUUGGCUGGCCCUUAGAAGUUGUUAAAAAGCAUAGAUAUCAGAUAGAUUUCAAGGGAAAAGUUGAGCAGUCGAUUCAGAACUGUACUUUAAGUCUUGUUAUGAUAAAAACUUUUAUUGCAGGACAAACCCUUAAUGCAGGAGGAGGCCACUGAGCAUCUAAACUUUAGCCAAAAGCUUCAAAGACUAGUGAUAAUGGCACAUGGCUGAGGGUCCCUCUCCCACUUACAGAGCCACUAAACCAUUGAGCGGAGAUCAAUUAGCCUUCAAGUCAACAAGUAAGUAUCUUUUCUGAAUCUUCAUGGGCCCUUAAAAAAAUCACCUGUGGCUAAGUAAGAUCGAAACGAAAGCAGCUUAAAACUCAUUUUGCAUUACCUGUUGAUUAUCGACCUAUGCUGUCAAGUCAACAAAUGCGCUUGCCUUAAAGAUUAGCACUUGCUACUGCACUUAAAAUUGGGACAUGUGCGCAUACAACCCGAAUAUUUGUAGGUAGUGAGUGGUCAUGAUAAGGUUGUAUUGUUUCCAUCUCUGUUAUGCAAACUUUCUGUCCAAUCAAGAUUUAGCUUUACUACAUUGGUGCCUUACGCAGAUAGUUUCGACAGCUUCUUUUUGACAAAGCAUCCACUUAAAUGAUUGUAGAAUGGAAAUUUGCUUUUCUAUUACUCAUAAGUCAUGACCAAGCUAUAGCCGUCUCACUACCUAUAGUUUCUGAGCAACAGGUUCUCUUGACAUAAAAGCAGCCUUGGGACUAGUCUUAGAGACUUAGAGUACCCUGUCUGACUAGAAAUCUCUUGCCUGUAGAGGAAUUAGAUAAGUCUAUGACAUAAGAGAGUUAAGUCUAUGCGUAUCACCACAUCCGCAUAACUAUUAGCUGAUUAGCUAGAGUCGACGAUUAAUGUAAGUAGAUGAUUCAACAGACUUGUUGAGGAUGGAGAAUAAUGUUUUGAUGUAAAGGUGAUAUUCGAGAGUUACGUUGGGAAUCGCCAACUUGAUUGCUCGAGUAAUUAACUCAAUACACUUAACCGUUAGGCAGUAUAUUCGAGGUCGAUCCACAAAGACCAAAGAUACUCUAAGGAUUUUCGAGACUUGUUCUUAGCUAAAACUAAAAAGUUGUUUUGUUUGAGUUUUCCGAAUUGUAAAAUAAAAAUGCAAUUAAAUUAAACGAUUUAAGUUUCAAGAUUUAAAGACAUUAGGCAUUAGGGUAUUUCAGAGAUCAAUAAACAAUGGAAACAUGGGACAAGGAAUUCAACAAUUACGAACCGUUCUUGAACAUGAACACAACUUAGACUAAUUCUCUUUCAAGACAUUAAUCACUAAAUUUGACUACUCGAUUACUAAACUUUCGCAUGUAAUUUCCUAGUCAAAUUCGCAUUAUCAAACAAGUUCAUUUAGUUCACAAUGCGUCCUAACUUCAACUUUCGUUGGCUAGAAAUACAUUGCUCAAUUCACAUUCUUUCAGGCAUUCUAUCGAACACUUUUGAUGCAUAGAAAAACCUAGGUUCUACAACAGGGUGAUCAAUCCUAUUCUAGCAUUAAGAACAUGUGAAUCAAAGAACCUAGAGAAUGAGAAUUCCAAACAACAAUUAAUCCAUUAAUCUAUCGAAUCUCCUAAUUAGAACCCUAACACCUAAUUAAAAGACUACUCACACAUAGCAACAGAAACAAGACAAAUAGAUGAAGAAGACAUAAUUGAAUUGCAAUGAAAAUAAGAAAUAGGGUUUAGAAAUCUUCUCCAAAUUGUCAAAGAGGAUGAAUCUCUAGAAUCCCAAGGUUGCUUACAAGAGAGAAGUCUCAGAAAAAUUGCAGAAAAAAAACGUGAAAAGAAAAUUAGGUCUCUGGGGUUUUUAUACCCAAGUACAAAAAAAAAAAAGGAAGACAAAACCCGGUUUAGGAAAACCGUCUCGGGCGUCGAGGCUCGGAUCGAUCGAUCCGAUGGGUGGAUCGAUCGAUCCAGAUAUGCUGAAUCACGGUCUUGGACGGAUGAGGGUUGGAUCGAUCGAUCCCAUGGGUGGAUCGAUCGAUCCAGAAAUGCUGAAUCAAUUGUCUCGGACGAAUGAGGGUUGGAUCGAUCGAUCCCCUCCUGGGAUCGAUCGAUCUCGAGCGACUGGAACUUUUGGUUUCAUCGUCACAAUUGGGAUCGAUCGAUCCACGCCUUGGAUCGAUCGAUCCCCAGCUCCUGGUGAUCUCUUGUACCGUUUCUCCAUUGUUUUAGCUCCGAAUAGGCUCAAUCAUGCACAAGAUGCUCCGAAUCCAGCUCGAGCACCUAUAGCCUGCAAAGGACUCAAGACACAACCGAAAAGGCGCAAAAGACGGACUUUGAUACGAUAGAUGACUCAAAACAUGGACUAAACCAAGACUCGAAACCGUUAAAAACGCAACACAUCAAUUCUCUUCAACAACUCUUUGGUUUUAGGUUAGAUCUGUAAAUGGACACUGUAUUUCUGUUGCAGUAAUAUAGGAGGGUUAUAUCAGAAAGCUGGUUAAAACCCAUGGGAUUAUGGCUUCAAAACCCAUGUUUAGUGGUUUUCAAAGAGAUAUAGAAAUGAUGAAGAAACAAUGUAUGUGUGAAAAGAUAUCAUUGGAUGGAUCAUACCACAAAACUCUUUUUGGAAGCACAUGGAGGUGGAUAACUGAUCCCAAUGAUUGAUUUUUCUUUUAUAUGAGAGAAGGAGCACUAAAAGAAGCAGUACAUGAAUAGACAAUCGCUUUCAACAGAUGAUUCACUGUUCAUCUGACCUUAGUACAUGAAAAAACAGCUUCUUGUAGGACUCUUUUUUUUAUCUCUUUUUGUCAAAAUUUGUAGACUCUCAGUCUUCAGAGAUAACUUACAUUGAUAUAUAUACUUGUGACUUGAUUGAUCUGAUUUGAAUUGAACCAUUCCCUUACAUUUUUGGUUUCUCUCCCAAAAUUGAACUUGUUUUACAAUUGCCAUUGUUCACCAAACAAAAAAAAAGUUAAACUAUCAAAGAGGCUAGUAAAAAGGUGAAAACAUGAAUAUAGUAAACUCCACAAUAAUAAACACCAUUUGGUUGGCCCCACUUUUGUUUCUAUAACAAUCUCCCAAUUUCAUCUUUUUCACCCCUCCAAAAAAAAAUCAUCAUUUGACAAGUACAACUAUACAUAAUGCAUGUAUGUGAAUACAUCAUCAUCAUCAUAUCAAUUGGAGAAAACCUAGCUUUUUUUAGUUAUGAGUUAAACAAAUUUGCUCUUCUUCUCUGACUUUGGAAGUAAAGAAAAAAAAAGACUUUUUCCUCAAAUUCAGCGAUUUUUUUUUCUUUUCCAAAUUAGUUACAUACAGUACGGAAGCUAAUGAGAUAUUAUUAAAAAUUGCAUACAAAUUGCCAGAAAAAUGGCCUAUGUGGCUACAAAGUCUGGUCCCAUAAAGCUUUUAAGUCAAUUCCGAAAAUGUUGUCACUUCUUUGGAUCUCUCAUCCUCGUCGUCUUAUCUCUCAGCUCCUUCAUCGUUCCCCCGUGAAAGCUAUAUUCUGUUUUUUUUUUUUUUCCAAAAUAUAACACAUAGUAAUAAUAAUAAGAAACUCUGUAUUGUAACAUCCAUAAUUAUAACAAAACAUCAAAUUUGUACACAUUUCCUUAUUCAUGCUCAUAGUCAUUUUCUUUUCUUUAGCAUUAUAAGAAUAACAUUGCGGCGCCAGUAAACAAGAAAAGCAACAGUGAUUACUGAGUCUGAGACCAACAUAUAUACUUUAUAUAUAAUUAGGGUUAGUUAAAAACUAUGUAAUACUAAAAUAAAUGAAAGUGGGCUCAGACAAAAAAACAAAUCAAAGUCACUAACAAAGUGGCCAUGUGCGACUGCUCAAAAGUCUAGUGUCUCUCUUAACAGAUUCCUGAUUCCUUCCUCUAGUCUUCAUUAUAUCAAUUAAUUAUUUGCUCCUAAUCAAUCUCGUUUAUUUAAUUAUAAUUUCAACUGUCUCGUCUCGAGAAACAGCGUCAUCCAUCUGUUUUUUAAAUAAUGUAUCUUUAAUAAUAGUAUAUGAUGAUGAUGUAAUGUAACUCUACCUAAACUGAAUCAGAUAUAUAAAUAACAUUUAAAAGAGUUAAAAUAGUUUAAUUACCAUAUUAUGAGGAUGAGAGUAAUAAUAGUACAUGUUUUGGCCGUAGUAACCAUCGGGAGAUCAACGGUGGUGGCAGCGGCGGUAACAGAAUCAUCUCCGUCGUUUUCAUCCAUUUGACACUCCAAAUCCACACCGAAAAGCCUCACUGUCCUUGAGCUUCCGACGACGGAUGACGAUGGUGUGGAGUGAGUCUCAGCCGCUGUUGCUACGGCGGCUCCUGUAAUCACCGACACGUGCGUGUCAUUAAUUAAUUGAAAGAAACCAAAAACAAAAACAAAAACACAAAAGUACACAACUGAACAAAAAGCACGUUUGUCCCAGGGGAUUGGACGGUCUUCUUCACGCGCUCUUAUAUGCGCGUGUAUAGCUACUAUAUUAACUACAACUUGGAGAAAUUAAGCAGUCGAGGUGGUCAUUUUUUUUUCUUCUAUUACUUAAUAGCUGUAUAAUAACGUUACUUAUCUCAGGUUUUUAAUAAUGAAGCAUAUAGUAUUUUUUUUUUUUUGAUAAACCGAAGCAUAUAGUAUUUUGUAGAACUAAAUAUAAUUUAUCGUACACUAUUAGCUAUAAAUAUCUACAUUUGGGUGUAAUGUUUUAAUCCUCCCGACAACAUUGUAUAGUCGAUACUCUAGGACACGAACAAUUCAUUCGUAGAAAAAUAAAAAAUGUCAAAAGAAAAAGAGAUUAAAAUUAUUUGAUAAAAAAAAAAGAGUCAAAUAAUUUGGUUAAAAAGAGAAAUAUAUACCGUAGUGGGAAUACUCUGAGUGAGAGGGAGGAUUAGAGUAAUUACUAGUGGCGUGGAUUUGAUGAUAAGAAAGAGCUCCCAUAGAACUCAUAUUCACGGCGGAGUUAGUGGCUGCGGCAGAGGAGGAGCCUUGGCCACGUCUGCGCCACCCAAUGAAGAGUCUCCGGGAAUCAGAACGGUGUCGUUGGAAGAAAACGACGUCGCCUGGAUCGAGCUGUUUGUCUUUGACAAAUCUGCUCCAUCCUUUAGUCAAGACAUAGCUUUGACUGCUGUUCCAAUAAGAGUAUCUGAACCUCCAUGACUUGCCUGACUCGUCUUCAAAGCUUAGAAGCAUCCCUUUCUCCGACGAUGACGUGUCAGUAGCAGCAGAGGAGACUACGACGGCAUUGAGAGGGAAGUAUUUCUCUGCGUGCUGUUUUGGUAUGACGAGGCGGUUGAGUUUGCCGACGUCGCUUGGUGUGAGAGACUUCUCGAAGAGUGACUCUUUUAGGUCGUCGUGGAGCCAUGUGGCGGUGGUGGUUGUCUCCGUUGUGUCGGUGGUGUGGCGGUGUUGCUGUUGCCACAAGAGAGUGUGGUGGUGGUCUGUGGAGUAAUGGUUGACUGACAUUUUUCUAGGAGAUAGAAAGCGAAAGAGAGAGAGAGGUAGAGAGCGAAUGGAGAGUAUAGGGAGAGAGGGUUAGGUGAAAGAGAGAGGUGGGUACUCGUAGUUCUAAUAUAGUAUGAUACGAAGGAGAGAGAGAUGAAAAAAUGGUGUUUUUGAGGGUUAAAAAUUUGACGUGAAAACUUUGGCUAACUAUUUGAGGAGAGAGUAACACACGACAACCAGAAGACUUUCUUUCUUUUAAGGUUUUGCGUGAUGUUUUAUCUUUUUCCAUCAUUAUUACUUUUUUCUACUUCUUGCAGUCCGUAUUCUUUAUUGAUUUACAGUACUAUUUCCUUUUUUCUUAUUCUAUUUGCCUAUAUCAUAUUUAUGUAUGUACGAUCAUGUUCGGUGAUUUUUUUCUUAAACACACUGGAUUCCACGAUUUGAAUUUGAAGUAUGACGAUACUUCAGUAUUAAUAUAAAGAUUUAUAAUAGGAAAAUAUAUGCUAAUUAUGUAUUAUGGUAUAAUUUUGUAGGGGAUAUGAAAAGGUAUACUCAGGUGAGGUUGGUGAUUAGGACUUAGGAGGAAUAUAUAAACAAGAAAGAAGAACUAAAAGGUUUAAUUUAAAAAAAAAAAAAAAAGUUAGGCUACACGAAAACCCAAAGAAUCAACCUAUUUAGAGUUAGAAGGAUAUGACCCAUUUGAAAAGAUAAAUGCAAUUAUUGGGAGAAAAAAUAAUGGUCAAUUUGUUUUUUGAUGUCAUUUCUUAGUAACAUCCUGAAAAAAAUUAUGUUCUUUGCGUGCUUCUCGAAAUGUUACCAAAAGAAGAAAAACAAAAGAUAUGUUGCUUGUUAUUUCGACGCAAUUAAUAGAGCAAUAAUACACAUUUUAUCUGAAAAAAGUUACACGUAAUUCACAGUCAACUGUGUGAUAUAAAUGAUACGUAUAGUUAGGCCGUGUUCGAUGGUCGAUGCACUAACGUUAGCAUUCGUCAUCAGUGUUUAGUCUCAGGUUCUUAAAAAGCCUUUUCAUUGGUAAGUUAUAUAUAUACUUAUAUCUAUUUUGGGGAUUUGACGAACACAAUCAAAGUUUGUCAUUAGCAUUACACUGAUAUUUAAUUGCAGCAUCAUUUCUAGUGUUAACGAAUGUUGUUAUAUAAUUUACUACAAAAAUAUAAAGGAUAUAUAUAUUAAUCCAUUAUUUACCAAAUAAUUUUACAUUAAGAAUAUAUUUUUUCUUUGAAAUAGAAUAUAAUAAUCUUAAAGCAUAUAGUCAUAUACUAUAGUUUAAGAAGGUGUAGACGCGUUCUUUACUUUCAUAAAUACUAUCGACGCUUUUUUUGCACUACCUUUCCCAUCUAAGGUAAAAAUACUGUUACGUCAUGGAUUCAAGUUACAAGAUAUUUUUCUAACUUAAGUUCUACAAAAUCUUUUGUGAUGGUAAUAUACUAUUUUUUUCCUCAAGCUUAUACUUAAAUUGUUUUUCUUCAGCUUAAGGGUACAUAUAUAUAUAUAUAUAUAUACAUAUACAUUUGUUUAUUGGGUCUAUUUUAGGGGAAUAAAAGAUGACUAACAAUUGGGAGGUCUAAUAGGUAGGAGAGUAAACAAUAGCAGAAUAGCUGCAGAAAAUAUUAUAAAAACUACUGAAUAAGGCCGAGCAUGUUUGAUCUUGAGCUUCUCUGGGAAAGAAAAAAAGGAUACUUUAAAUAAUUAUUAUAAAAUUCAUAUUUAAUGUUUAUACAUAUAUUUAUACCAUCCAUCUAACCUAACCCCUGCCCAGACCAACAUGUUAAAAAUAGUAAAAAAUAAACUCCAACAUACAGUAUUAAAUAAAAAUAAUUAAGCUCCAACAUUAAUACUGAUUAAAAAUAUUUACUGUCUGACAGUUUUGGAAUGAAACAAUACCAAUCUCUAUUUAUCCUUACAAUCUAAUUGAUUGAGAAAAUAUAUAUUGGUAAACUAGUGUAAUUGUUGUUAUAUUAUAUUCUGUAAUAAUUGACAUAUAGUAUAUGUCCACUCUAAUGUACCAGUUAAGCUCUUCAAAUUUGAUAACUCUGAAUGACUUAACUUUUUUUUUUUUUUUUGAGAAACAAUUGAAAGUUAGGAAGCAAUUUGUUUAUUUAUUGAAACGAAGGUUAGUCCGUAAGAAAAUCUAGUAAAAAUUAGUAAAUGAAUACUACUACUAUAUAAUACAAGAUGGCGUAGGAGCAAAGAGGAUGACGGAAGCAUGAUGAAGGAAGAAAGUGAUCCAACGGCUGAGAGUGCAUGAUAGUUUUUCACCGGAAAUAGAUACUUUGCCCUCACGCAACUUGUGAAGGCAUGUGCUUUGCCUUUCCCACACACCAUUCCAUGCAUCUUCAAUUCUACUCUCAUUUAUUCAUUCCCCCGGGGAUUAGACUUCCUUACAUUUCUAAUUUUUUUUUUUUUGGGCAAACCUUACAUUUCUUAAUUAACAUCAUUUUUAUCAGAGUGUCGAAAAUGGAAUCGCGAGGGUAAAAUACUGUUUUUUUUUUUUAAUUGUAGGGUAAAAUACUGUUACAAUUAAUCGUUUAGAAAAUGAUAUAUAUUCUCAUAACAAAAUCACUUAAUAAAGUUAAAAUUUUCACCAUAUAUAUAUAUACUUUUUAAACUACAUCAAAUUAUAUAAUACUUACUAUCUCUUACAUCUUAACUUUAUAAAUACCAGACAUUACGAAUUUACUGGUCGACAUUUCUAUUUUUCUUGAUUUUAAUCGUUUUCUACGGAAAUCCUAUAUAACUACCUGAAAAAAUCCAAAAGACAUGCAAAUGGGCACCUACGUGGUCCGCUUCUGUUUUAUUUGACGACUUUUUUUACCAAAUGUUUUUCUUUUAUAGUAACCUCUUAUCAUUUUUUCAUUUGUAAAACAAAUUAUGAAACAUUUGUCACGUGAUUUCUGGACACCAUUAUUGGUGUUUAGACGUUUAUAUUUUUCCUAAUUUCGACAAAAUAUUAUUAAGAUAUAACUAUGGUGGAUUCAACAAUUUACACACACAUCCUUUGAUUUUUAUCCAUCUGCCUAUGGAAUUUUAACAAAACAGAACUCUAACACAAAUAAUCGACAUCCAUUUUUCUUUGACAUAAUCUAUACUUACUUAUGCAUGUGUCUGUGUAUAUAUAUAUUUUUUUCUUAUCAAGCUUUCGUGAAAGAAUAAAACGAAAAUUUAUUGUUGACUGUGGGCCAACUUCGCUUCAAGUAGAGAGGACCAUCUAAAGAAAUUACAAUAAAUUCAUAAAAUAGUAAAUGAUAAGAUAUAAAUAGAAAGUUAUGGAUUUUUUCCAAUAUAAUCUAUAAGAAGAAAACAACAAUUAUGCGAUGAAAUUUGUACCAUUGGAUAUAUUACACAAAUACACAGAUAAAACAACAAAGAUUAUUUCCUCUUCUUUUGUGUUUCAAUCCUCUCCUCACAGAGGAUGACCUCCCACUUCAACUUAUCAGAAGAGCACCGAAAAUCACUUGAACGCAAAAGGAAGUAGUACAUAUUGAUCGCCACUCCACGAAAGCACAAAAUGUGAUGAUAUUAUGCUUGUGACAUAGUUUGGAUGUCCUGCUCUAAAUCUCUAAUCCAAUCCCAAAAAUCAGGUACGGAUGCUCAUUUUGGUAUUUUUCUUCACCGGGUCAGGGAUUGUAAUUACGCUUGUGACAUAGUUUUGGAAUUUGUUUCAUAGCUAAGACAUGUCUCCUUCAGCAAAUAAUGAUUGAAUUAGUGUUGCAAAAAGAUUUGAGUAAUGGACAAAUGCGACAUCAUUUCCAGGUCGAUUUCGAGACACCUUUUUCGCAUGUACGUCUGCAUCAGUUAAACACACUUUGUUAUUUUAUUUAUGUCCUUUGCUAUAUAAGUAAUUUCAAACAUUUAUGUACGAGAAGUUCUUUUUAAAAUUUUCACCAUAAUAAUAUCGCACAUGUUAGGGUCAUUUCCUCUCCAAUGACAGAAGAGGUUGUUGGGUUCUUGUAUGUACUUUUAUCCUCUCUUUUUUCUUUCGCUAUAUUGUUCAUAGUCUCGUAGAGCAUGAUUUAUUAUUUUCUAUAUUUUUUUUGGUCUUUCUAAUCCUAUGCAAUUCGAUUAAAAAAAAAUUAUUUUCUUCUUCUUUUUGUCACGAAUGGUUUAUGAUUGAUUAUGAAUUUGAAACGAAGGGAAGAGUUUGGAGUAUGUGUAAUUUUUUGCAAUAAAUAUGGAAGGCUUAAUCAUGUUAUCGUCUUAUCGAUCUCCAGACUCCAAUCACUGCACCUAGCCAAAUUGAUUAGUCUAACUUACAUAUAUAUACGUUUAAAAGUAUAUUCUACUGUUAAAUCCUCUUUUAAAUAUUUAUUUCAAAGGCUGCAUGAUUAAGUGGAAUUUUUUCAAAGAAUGUGUUUUAAAAUCUGUUUUUGUUUUGUCAAAAUUUAACAUGUUUUAUAUUCGUUUACCUCAGGUAGCAAAGUAAUAUAUACUCACCUAACAAGGUAUUGACUAUACAUACAAUAAUGAGUGCUCGAAAGUCUUAUUUAUAAACGAGAGCGACUGCUAUUUUUCUUUUGUCAACAUGACUGCUACGAUUAGGGGUGUUGUUUCAUGAUUCCACAUUUUGAAUAACAACUUUAGCGCUCUUGCAAUAAACCCAAUAUAAAUGUGCAUAAUAUUAGAGUAUAGUAAUACAUGUAAAUAGUUUUUACUCACAUGUAAUUUUAUUCACUAUAUAUACUGUACAUGUAAACACUUUUACGCUUAAUGAGAAAUAACAACUUUCUGAUUAUCUCUUAUCUGAUAUGGUAUCAGAGCAUAUUCGCUCUCCUUCCGCAACUCGAUUUCUCAUUCCUUGCUUCAUCUUCGAGCUUCGAUCUUCAUGAUUUGAGCUUGUUUUUCUUUGAAUCGAUCUCCGAUUGUUUCGGAUCGAGCUUUGUUUCAACUUUUUUGAGCUCCGAUUGCUCUUUUUCAUUUUUUUUUCGUUUGUUAAGCUUCGCGUUAUCUCGGCUUCGUUUCAAUGGCGAAUACGACUCGCGAUUCCUAUGACAAUCCUUAUUUUCUCACUAAUAAUGAUCAUUCUGGUUUGGUGUUGGUGUCAGAUCGUCUUACUGGCGCUAGCGAUUUUGGAUCAUGGUAUCAAUCGAUGCUCAUGGCGUUAAACGGUCGUAAUAAGCUUUGUUUUGUUGAUGGUAGUCUUCCUAAACCCGAUGAUGGCCAUAAAGAUGCAGCGACUUGGUCCAGAGUUAAUGAUGUGGUACGCUCUUGGCUCAUGAACUCUGUUUCCAAAACUAUAGGCCAAAGCGUGUUAUAUGUGAAGACUGCACAUGGUAUUUGGCAAAAAUUAUUGAAGAUCUACCAGCAAAACAAUGUUCCUAGACUCUAUCGAAUUGAACAAAAACUUGCUGGACUUCGUCAAGGUUCUUUGGAUGUUAAUACUUUUUACACAAAACUGGUUACGAUUUGGGAAGAAGUGAAAAGUGCUCAAGAUUUUCCUAUUUGUCAAUGUGGUGGCUGUGAUUGUGAUCUGAAUAGUAAAUGGAUGGAACUUUUUGAGAGAAACUUUGUGAUUAAGUUUCUAUUUGGUCUCAAUGAAUCAUAUGAAAAUGUCAGAGAAUCUAUCAUCAUGCGUGAUCCUUUGCCUGAUUUGGAAAAAACAUUGAAUCUGGUGAUUCAACAUGAACAUCAACAGGAAAUCAAGCAAACUCCUCAGGCUGGUGGUGUAGUUUUUCAGAUGAGUUCUCAGCAGGCUCCAUCUUCUUAUGAUCAAAAUUUCCAGCACAAUCCAGUCCUUAAUGAUUGCUCUGGUUCUUCUGAAGUUGUUGGCGCUGUUUCAGGUGGUUAUCGACCUAAGCAACGUCCCAUUUGUACUUACUGUGGGUUGCAGGGACAUAUUGUUACCAAGUGUUACAAACUUCAUGGUUAUCCACUUGGUUACAAGUCUCCAGCUCAGUCUUAUGGUUCUCAAUCCUAUGGUAAUCAGAAUGUUGCUCCUACUUUUGCUCCAAAGCAGUUUCAGUCUCGACCUAUUUUUGCUCCUCAACAACAGCAGCAACAACAACAUGGUCAACAAUUCAUCCCUCAUCAGGCACGAAUGCAGAGUCAGAAAGAAUCAAGAGAUAAUAUGGUUGGCAAUGUUAUUACAACAUCUCCUGCGGUACACGAUCAUUUUCACCAAGUGUCUAAUGCUUUGGCUCAGCUAUCAUCUGAGCAGAUUGCACAGUUAGCUUCUCAAUUGACUACCAAAUCCACCUGUUCUAUGCCAAGCAUUUCUGAGACUCCUGGUGUCACAUAUUCCUCUACUUCUGCAGGUAACAUCAUUUGCACAACCCUCUCAGAACCAUGCCUUAAUUUUAAUGCAUGGAUUAUUGACUCUGGUGCCACUACUCACGUGUGUUGCAACUUAAACUUGUUUGCUGACAUUAAUAGUAUUCCUGAUACUACUGUGAAAUUGCCUAAUAGUUCUCAGAUUGUUAUCAACCAAUCUGGAACUGUUUUGUUAUCAGAUAAACUUCUUCUUAAAAAUGUCCUUUUCAUUCCAUCUUUUCAUCUUAAUCUCAUCAGUGUCAGUUCACUUCUUCAACAUUGUGCAUACUCAGUUAAUUUUUUCCCUUCCUUUUGCACAAUUCAGGAGCUUACUCGGGGCUUGAUGAUUGGUAAAGGUCAUCUUGAGAAUAAACUUUAUUUUCUGGAUCCUGCAACUUCAUCUUCAUCAUCUCAAGCUCCAUCUUCUUCCAUUUGCAAUCUCACUGUUUCUGAUUCUAGUUCUCUUUGGCAUUCAAGACUGGGUCAUCCAUCUUUUCCCAAGAUUCAAGCUCUUUCUGAAGAUCUUUCUCUUUCAAAAACAAAACUUAAAGAUUGGUCACAUUGUCAGACAUGUCAUCUUGCAAAACAGAAACGUUUACCUUUUCCUUUUCUUAAUAAUCUGUCUCAGAAACCUUUUGAUCUUAUACAUUUGGAUGUUUGGGGUCCUUUCUCUGUUGUUUCAGUUGAAGGCUUUCGUUAUUUUCUUACUAUAGUGGAUGAUUGCACUAGAGUAACUUGGGUUUAUCUCUUGAAAUCAAAAAGUGAUGUUUUAAAAGUCUUUCCCACUUUUAUACAAACUGUUGAAACACAAUUUUCUAGUAAAAUCAAAGCCAUUCGUUCAGACAAUGCCCCUGAACUUUCUUUUACUUCUCUUCUUCAAUCCAAAGGAAUAUUUCAUUACUUUUCUUGUGUUGAUACACCACAACAAAAUUCGGUUGUGGAGAGAAAACAUCAACACAUUCUAAAUGUGGCCAGGGCUCUUCUUUUUCAAUCUAAUGUGCCAUUACAAUAUUGGUCAGAUUGUGUUCGCACUUCUGUCUUUCUCAUAAACAGAACUCCUUCAACUCUUCUCCAAAAUAAAACUCCUUAUGAACUAUUACUCCAAAAGAAACCAAAUUAUUCAAAUCUUAAAAGUUUUGGUUGUCUUUGUUAUGUGUCUACCUAUCCAAAAGAUAGACACAAAUUCUCUCCUAGAGCAACACCCUCAGUUUUUCUUGGUUACCCUUCUGGAUACAAAGGUUAUAAAGUCCUUGAUCUUGAAACUCAUUCCAUUUCAAUCUCAAGAAAUGUUUUAUUUCAUGAGGAUAUCUUUCCUUUUCAGUCUUCUAAUCUCUCUUCUUCCACCAUUGAUAUUUUCUCUUCUACUAUACUUCCUCUUCCUAUUCCUGAUUCAUCAUCAUCUUCUUCUUCCAUUCCUCAUCUUAUUCCUGAAGUUUUAUCUGAUAACAGUAAUGUCUCAGUAGAAUCAGAUUCUACUAUUCUUGUUGAUGGAAACAGGCCUAAGAGGAACACUCGUAAGCCAACUUAUUUGGCUGAUUAUCACUGCAAUCUUGUACGACACAUCCCUAAUGACAGUGGUAAUACUUCCCAUCCAUUGCAAACGGUACUUGAUUACUCUCAGCUGAAUGAUCACUAUCAACAAUUCAUUUUCAACAUUUCUGCGGAGUCAGAACCAAAAAAUUUUGCUGAGGCUAUCAAGUCUGAAAAGUGGCAUGGACCUAUGAAUGAAGAACUACAAACGUGUGUUAACACUGGUACAUUCUCUGUGGUCACAUUGCCUGAAGGAAAGAAGCCCAUUGGCUGCAGAUGGGUUUACAGGAUAAAGCAUCAUGCUGAUGGGACUAUUGACAGAUACAGAGCUAGAUUGGUUGCUAAGGGUUAUACUCAACAAGAAGGAGUGGAUUAUAUUGAUACAUUCUCUCCAGUAGCAAAGCUUGUUACAGUCAAAUUAUUACUGGAUUUGGCUGCCAAACACAACUGGUCUCUAACUCAAAUGGAUGUUACAAAUGCUUUUUUGCAUGGUGAUCUUGAUGAAGAGAUUUACAUGGAGUUGCCACCAGGUUACACACCACCUCCUGGUGAAAGCUUGCCUCCAAAAGCAGUUUGGAAACUCCACAAAUCACUCUAUGGGUUAAAACAAGCUUCAAGACAGUGGAACAAGAAAUUUUCAGAUGUGUUAUUGGUGAAUGGUUUUACUCAAUCUCAGUCAGAUCACACACUUUUUGUACGGCAAGUGGGUAACACUUUUCUUGCUUUACUAGUGUAUGUGGAUGAUAUCCUUAUUGCUAGUAACAGUGAUCAAGCCGUCUCAGAUUUGAAGAAUAUUUUGUCCACUGCUUUUAAACUCAAAGAUCUUGGUCCAGUUAAGUACUUUCUUGGACUUGAAAUUGCUAGAAACAAGAAUGGAAUCUCCGUUUGUCAACGGAAAUACACUUUGGAUUUGUUGGAAAGUGUUGGUCUUCUAGGUUGCAAGCCAGUGGCAACACCAAUGGACUCUGAUAUACAUUUACAUGCUGAAAGUGGUGACUUAUUACCUGAUGCCACAGUAUACAGAGCUCUCAUUGGCAAGCUGCUGUAUCUUACUAUUACAAGAGCUGACAUUACUUUUGCUGUCCACAAACUGAGUCAAUAUCUCUCUCAACCAAGGACUCAACAUUUACAAGCAGCUCAUCGUAUUAUCAGAUACUUAAAAGGAGAUCCAGGGCGUGGUCUGUUCUAUGCUGCAAACUCUGAAUUCAGACUACAAGCUUUUUCAAACGCAGAUUGGGCAACUUGUCAAGAUUCACGCCGUUCUACUACUGGCUUCUGUGUUUUCUUUGGUUCUUCUUUGAUCUCAUGGAAAUCCAGAAAGCAACAAACUGCCUCACGUAGUAGUGCUGAAUCAGAAUACAGAGCCUUAGCUGAUACAACGUGUGAAUUACUUUGGCUGAGUCAAUUGCUAAAGGAUCUUCAUGUUCAAGUUACUGGCCCAGCAAAUCUCUACUGUGAUAGCACUGCAGCCAUUCAGAUUGCUUCAAAUUCAGUCUUUCACGAACGCACCAAACACAUAGAGAUAGAUUGUCACAUUGUUCGUGAUAGGUACAAAGCUGGUUUUCUGAAUUUGUUGCAUGUUACUACGGAUAAUCAACUGGCUGAUCUGUUUACUAAAGCUCUACCUCCCAAGACAUUCAAGAUGCUCAUGUCAAGAUAUGCUUUUUCAAGUCUCUUUCUUCCUUCUUGAAGAAUUCGACUUGAGGGAGGGAUAUUAGAGUAUAGUAAUACAUGUAAAUAGUUUUUACUCACAUGUAAUUUUAUUCACUAUAUAUACUGUACAUGUAAACACUUUUACGCUUAAUGAGAAAUAACAACUUUCUGAUUAUCUCUUAUCUGAUACAUAAAAUACAUAUUUACGGCUAUAUAAUCGGCGAAGUAGUGGAUACCUCUCUAAGUUUUCCAAGCAAUAAAUUUUCUUGGUGGUACGUCAGUACGUGAAAUGUACUAAUGAAGUCGUAUGUAUUAUUUUAUGUGCAAAUUGUUACACACACAGGCACUAAUACGACCAAAUGGUUACACACACGAAUAACGUAGUGCAUAUCUAAUACUCCCUCGAAGAAAAGAAAAAAAAUACAGGAGGAAGGAGCGGUAUCUGCGAUGAAAAUCGUGGAGGGUUUCUAUAAUCUGCAAGUUUCUUUAAAUAAAUGUCUCAAAACGACAACCUUUCUUUGUUAUUUUUGGAAAGUGGUGCGAGAAGCUUCACUGAGCUUCGGGUAAGUUGCUAUUUUAUAUUCUUAUUAUUCCUAUACAUUCAUGAUAUUUUCUCGAUCCCCUAGUAAAAUAGCAUCAUCUCUUUAUUUUCUUCUUAAAACUGUGUUCCCUCUUGUUCUUUAGUUGUUCGUGAUUUCGUAAUGAGUGAGUACUUUCGAAAUACAAUAAUAUUAAUAGAGGAUUCACUUGUUAAUUGGCUUAUCAUUCAAGUUGAAACCAAUGGCGUAUAUCUUGGAUUAUAGAAAUAGGUUAUAGGUACGUCGACAGGAAUCGAGGUAAUUGAUUCACAAUAUUUAUAGUAUAAUAUUUUAAGAUUCUAUAUUCUUACGUUUUAGAUGAAGUACUUGUACUUUCCUAAGAGUGUAUUUCGGUAUAAUAACAGAUAGUAGGCCACUUUAUAAGUAAUAAACUAUCUAUUUUGAGAGAUAGUUAGUUAGUUGUUUAGUGGUUGAGGUGGUUGAAGUAAUUCACUAUAAGUGUUUAGAGAUUGUGUGAUUCAAAUCAUUACUUUCACAAUCAUGAUUUCAAAAUUUCAAUCAUAUAUGCAUGGUAAGUAAAAUAUUCGGUUUUUGAUGGAUCACUAGAAAUUAAUAUAAGUUUCAACUCAUGGUCUUAGGUUAUAAGAAUAUUAGAACUAAUGCAUCAAAAGUGAACUUAAAACAAAGACUGUAUAGGUAACUAAGAAACGCAUUGAGUGCUAAUAUAUAGAAUCUAAUGACAACAUAAUUUUUUGCAUUUGCAUAUUAUAGAUAUGUGUGAAAAACUUAUCGUCGACUAAUAUAUUGAUAGCUCCUAAAGCAGGGGACCAAAACUCUUGCUGUAUUUUCUUAUUAUUCUAAACAAAACUGGCCUGGAUGAGUGAGAGAGGACCACACUUUUUUCUUUUUAUUUUUCUUAUAUAAUUAAUAUAAAAUAAAUUUUGAUCUGCACUGUUCCACAGACUAAAGUUGUAUGCAGCCGAUAUCUUAGACUUAGACAGUUUAGCACCAACAACAUUAAUUUCCAGAUUCAUAUUUUAAAUUUAGUGAUUUUUAGAUGGAAACAAAUUCCAAUAUCUGGAGACAGUUCAUGUUACACACCUAAUUAGUAGUGAGAACAAAUUUCAACAUAAUAGAUGAUUAAAUAAGUAAAAAUAAGACUUUAUUAACAAAUUAAGAUGAGUUUAUUGGUUUGUGUAAAAUUCUUAAUUGACAUAUACUCCGAUCUUCUCCCAAAUGUUGCCAUUCAACUAACUAAAUUGCAGAGUUUAGUUUUUAAAAGAUCGUUAAAUUCUUAGAAAGAAAACUAAAUCCUUGAGUUUCUGACUUCACUAUAAAUAUUUUGGUACAUUUUUCAUUUUCUUUUUGUCAAUCCAACAUCUUUUUUUUUUUUUUAACCAGAUAAAGUUGGUAAUAUUUUUUCACAAAAGUAAUGUUUGUUCUUGGAUGUUCAAACACAUAAUGGGCCAUUCCCAGAAUCUUCAAACACUUACUGGGCCAUUCCCAGAAUCUCCAAACAUGUAAUGGGCUAUUUCCAGAUUCUUUAACGGACUCUUCUCUUCAAGAUUGGGCUUCGUUACAAUUUGCAAAUUCUAAAGUUAACAACGAUAAUACGAUUUUGCCCUUCCACUUCCCCAUAUUUAAACAGUUUCUGAUCCACAAAACCCUAACCCUAAUCUCAGCCGGUACUCAGAAGCAGAGAGAGACUGAGGAAGUUUCGUAACCCCCAAAUCACAACCAAAAAAUGGGUCGCGUUCGCACGAAGACUGUGAAGAAAUCAUCUCGUCAGGUGAUCGAGAAGUACUACUCUCGCAUGACUCUUGAUUUCCACACGAACAAGAAGAUCCUCGAAGAAGUCGCAAUCAUCCCAUCGAAGAGACUCCGCAACAAGAUCGCUGGUUUCUCCACUCAUCUCAUGAAGAGGAUCCAAAAGGGACCUGUCCGUGGAAUCUCCCUCAAGCUUCAGGAGGAAGAGCGUGAGCGCCGUAUGGACUUUGUCCCUGACGAAUCCGCCAUUAAAACCGAUCACAUCGAGGUCGAUAAGGAGACGCUUGAGAUGCUUGCUUCCUUGGGAAUGUCUGAGCUACC
RNAcentral lists this long non-coding RNA (17482 nucleotides) under Arabidopsis lyrata. RNAcentral describes it as "long non-coding RNA (ALYR_LNC001159)". Lineage: Eukaryota; Viridiplantae; Streptophyta; Magnoliopsida; Brassicales; Brassicaceae. The record is from RNAcentral.